AUUAAGUCUGCCUUCUGCGAUCCGAUUGUGAACAGAAUGUUCCCGCAACGGCCCCCGGGAUUUUUGCAAGUGACUUCCCAGCAAUUCUCUAGUUGCUGAUUUGACCAUUCUGUAGCUGGAGACGCAUUGCUAACCUGGAAGGAUCAGAUGGUGAGAAUGCAUGAUGUCACAUCAGAGGCUGCCUCCGGUUUAGCCAGCACAGGAAGAAACCAACCCGAGUCACAAAAUCCACAAUACCUGCACAGGAAACAAGAUGCCUCUUCCAUUCCUUUUGCUGUACUUCAAACACAGCCUCCUGUGGUCAACUCCCACAGUGCAGAGUUAAACUGUGGAACUCACUGCCAUGGGAAGCAGUGAUGCCGCCCCCGCAACUUAGAUUGGUCUGAUGUAGAAUUUUGAUAUUUGAUUAGACAUUAGAUAUAAAUUUU
This is a non-coding RNA of Podarcis muralis (Common wall lizard), 428 nucleotides long. The record is from RefSeq and is a predicted model, not a curated record. Lineage: Eukaryota; Metazoa; Chordata; Lepidosauria; Squamata; Lacertidae.